UUGUGACUUCACUAUGUAAAUCUUUCCAGUCAUUCUUAAUGGUUAUAUGGUCUUUAUCUCCCCAUGACACUCCUCCCACCAUGUUAUUCAGCCUUCAGAUGGAAGGGACAGCCUUGAAGAUGCAUAAAUAAGCUAGAAAAUGUUUCUUCAGUAGAAAUUUCAGUAGAAACUUGGUAAAAUGAUCUCUUUACAACUUCCAUGAUUUUAUUCUCCAGGACAAUAUGGCAGGAUGGUUUUGAUACUUAAACUUUUGGAGGAUUAAAUUUGUGAAAACAGUAAGUAGGCUUUUAUUUUUACAUUUCACAUAUGGAGGCCAUGCACUUUCACAAUCCUUAAACUGGAAAAGAUUCACAGAGUUAAUCUACCCGAAUCAUUUAGUAGCCAUUCCCCUUACUGAAAAACAAAAUGUGUCACCAGAAUUGUUACAACAUCCAAAUAGUGAAAAGAGUUUACAGAUCAAACGCCUAAUCUAACUCCUUUAUUUUACACACGAGGAAGCUGAGGACCAAAGCAGCUACAGGACUGACCUGCCCAAAACCACACAGUGAGUCUGCAGCCCGGCUUCGGACCAGAGUUUCUUCUGACAAGAGGCAAGCUCAUUGAUGGCCACACCCGCUCAUCCUGGAUAACAGUAUUCCCCAGUGGAAUUAACACGAUGCAUCUUCCUGGAGCAUCAUUUUUACUUUAAGAUUUAAAAGCAAGCAAGCAAAUUAAAUAGUCAUUUAAAUCAUAUUUAUAUUAAGCCUAACAUGGCCAUAUUGUAGAGCAAACCAUCGGGAUUUAAUAAACAAAACAGGAAACUUCAAAGAAAUGCUUUUUCUUGGAAAGAAGGCAGGGGAGCAAGAAAAGCGACUGCCUCAGCCUUUAUCAUUCUCCAGACCAGUGCCAAGGAGCCAAAGAGAAGAAAUGAGAAUAACCAAGGUUUAUGAAACCUAUAUAAAAACCUGUGAAACCUACACCGUCUGUGGAUGGAAUGUGUACUACUCUAGGAAAUGAAUAAAUACGUUAUCAAUAGCAGGGGAAUCAGUUGAACUUAACGUGACUCAAAGUUAGGAAGUGUGGGGUUAAAAAAAUGUAGGGUUCAUUGGAUUUUUUCUUUCCUUUUUAAAUUUAAAAACUUCAAGUUACCCUGGGAAAAAUGACCAAGAAAUAGUAGAAAAUAACCACUUUGCUUCAAAAGAUGUUUUGCAGCAAUUAGCCAAAGAAGAAGCCGUAUCCUCUGCAAGACAUCCUACUCUGUUGUGUGCAGUAGGGAUGGCUGUUCCUUGACCCCUCUCACUCACCUACCUCUGGCGCUUUGUUCAGGGGGCAGAGGCAGAGCGAGACCCUUUUGGUAAAUUUAUCCUGUUGGAAUAGCAAAUGGAGAAUGCUGUAAUGCAUUCACCCUUUCCUCUAUCCAUCCAUCAAUCAUUGUAUUAAUCAAUCAAUUGAAAAGCCUGUUUAAGCAUCUCUCUACAGCCUAUUAUCCACACUGAGUCAAAGAAACAUGGCUUCUAUGCUUUGCAGUUUGUAGUUUAAGAGAAAACAACAAUGGAGGUAGGCACGGAGGAUAAAUAGACAACAGGUAAAACACUGAACAAGUAUGUGAAAUGAAAAGAAUGAUAAUAUUAACAUUGUCAAUCAAUUAACAGGUAGUUAUGCUGUGGUAAUUACAUGCUCAGCACUGGGUUUGGGUGUUCUCCAAGUUAAAUAGCUAAAAAUCGGAAGAAUUUUUUUUUUUAUUAAUUACAGUUUUAAGUUGAGAAACUAAAGAAGUUUACUUUCCACUCUGCAUAAAGCCUUGUGGAGGCAAUAGGAUGGGAAUGAAAGGAGGUUGUGUGUUCCCACUUUGGUACUUGUUGAAAAGAAUAAAAUAGCUAUGAUGGGAGAGUGAACAAGUGAUGGUUGAGACACUUGGAUAACCUUAAAAUCACAAAAGUGCAGAGUUGGAAUGGGCCUGAAAAAUCAUUUUUUCAAUGCUUCCCACGGUACCUAAAAAUUGAGGCAAAUUCAGAGGUUUGUUUUGUGAAUAAGAUGUUGGUCAAGUAGGCAUGAGAGGAGCCUGCUAAGGGACACAGAAGGAG
This 2063-nucleotide long non-coding RNA is filed under the name Pan troglodytes (chimpanzee). Its description in RNAcentral is "lncRNA (ENSPTRG00000053565.1)". The record is from RNAcentral. Lineage: Eukaryota; Metazoa; Chordata; Mammalia; Primates; Hominidae.